CCACCACCAAAGCAUUUGCUGUACCGCGUUGACGGAGCGAAGCGACGUCAAACCGAUAAAACAGCAGUGUAAAGUGAGCCGCAGGGCGCUUUGCGCGACAGCGCAAAGGCAGGCGGUUUCGCGUAGCGAAAGCGAAUGCUUUGGGGUGGGGUGACUGCGUACCUUUUGUAUAAUGGGUCAGCGACUUAUAUUCUGUAGCAAGGUUAACCGAAUAGGGGAGCCGGAGGGAAACCGAGUCUUAACCGGGCGUUAAGUUGCAGGGUAUAGACCCGAAACCCGGUGAUCUAGCCAUGGGCAGGUUGAAGGUUGGGUAACACUAACUGGAGGACCGAACCGACUAAUGUUGAAAAAUUAGCGGAUGACCUGUGGCUGGGGGUGAAAGGCCAAUCAAACCGGGAGAUAGCUGGUUCUCCCCGAAAGCUAUUUAGGUAGCGCCUCGUGAAUUCAUCUCCGGGGGUAGAGCACUGUUUCGGCUAGGGGGCCAUCCCGGCUUACCAACCCGAUGCAAACUGCGAAUACCGGAGAAUGUUAUCACGGGAGACACACGGCGGGUGCUAACGUCCGUCGUGAAGAGGGAAACAACCCAGACCGCCAGCUAAGGUCCCAAAGUCAUGGUUAAGUGGGAAACGAUGUGGGAAGGCCCAGACAGCCAGGAUGUUGGCUUAGAAGCAGCCAUCAUUUAAAGAAAGCGUAAUAGCUCACUGGUCGAGUCGGCCUGCGCGGAAGAUGUAACGGGGCUAAACCAUGCACCGAAGCUGCGGCAGCGAACGUAUCACUUAAAGCGAUUCAGCGGGUUACGAUUGACGGAGCGAAGCGACGUCAAAGCGUAUACAAAGUCGAGUCGGUUUAAGGAUACGUUCGUUGGGUAGGGGAGCGUUCUGUAAGCCUGUGAAGGUGGCCUGUGAGGG
This 908-nucleotide ribosomal RNA is filed under the name Salmonella enterica subsp. enterica serovar Mikawasima. RNAcentral describes it as "partial 23S ribosomal RNA". The stretch from base 131 to 908 matches the Rfam family "Bacterial large subunit ribosomal RNA", at positions 572 to 1269 of the family's 2925-position model. The record is from RNAcentral. Lineage: Bacteria; Pseudomonadati; Pseudomonadota; Gammaproteobacteria; Enterobacterales; Enterobacteriaceae.